Centropristis striata (black sea bass) is the source of this 560-nucleotide long non-coding RNA. RefSeq lists it as uncharacterized. NCBI's taxonomy places the organism in Eukaryota, Metazoa, Chordata, Actinopteri, Perciformes, Serranidae. The record is from RefSeq and is a predicted model, not a curated record. The transcript is spliced from 3 exons.
UUAACCGUUACUACAUUCAAGUUAGCAACAAAUUGGGAAAUCGUUAGCGACCAGUUAGUCAAUAAUAUAACCAUUACGAUAAAAACGGUAAGGUAGGCCGGCCCAGGUAAGCACCAGGUAAGCAUUUGCUUACAGGAAGUCGACACUUCUCAACUUAAAUAAAAAAAUUGGCGCUAAAUUGCCAUUUUCCGGUCAACGGCCAAAGCUAAUUAGCAUGCUAGCAUCAGGGCCUGCGUGAAAGCUCCAGCUACUGAGCUAAAACUUGGUUUGACGUCACCAGGUGAGUCUGAUGAGCAGUGAUGCGGCAAAAACGAACAAAGCGAGGUCAGGCUGCAAAAGAUCACCAGCAGAGCAGCAUAUGUCUGGGGCUGACUGGCAAGGAUUCACUGUCUUGCUCAAGGACACUUCAUCAGUCAAAAUACCUGCCAACCUGGAUAUUUGAGUCCAAGUCAUUUGGUUGAAAGUUUGAAGGCAGUUUGAUGCUGCAAGAGGUAUAACAAUCUGGAUCACAGCUCCUACUCAGGAGCUUUUUGACAGUGUUAUUGUAGUGUUAUUGUAGG